RNAcentral lists this small RNA (30 nucleotides) under Bombyx mori (domestic silkworm). RNAcentral describes it as "ovarian small RNA-35330". Lineage: Eukaryota; Metazoa; Arthropoda; Insecta; Lepidoptera; Bombycidae. The record is from RNAcentral.
UGUAAGGGUUAUUGGAUCUGUUGGAUCCGU